Molecule: non-coding RNA, 202 nt
Organism: Schizosaccharomyces pombe (fission yeast)
Lineage: Eukaryota; Fungi; Ascomycota; Schizosaccharomycetes; Schizosaccharomycetales; Schizosaccharomycetaceae
Source: the annotation of a GenBank genome assembly
AUCGAUCACGUAUAUUAUAUACAGCCAAUUUGGUAAAGGCAAUUUUGCAAACUACCUGUUGAUUCAUUAAACAAUUAGAUAUUGGAAGCCGGAAACGCUUUCUUCUAUACAUUUACUUCAUUUAUGUAUACAUUAUUUCUUACAUUUAAUGUGACCACAAGUAACAUGCUGCAUACAUUUAAUCCAAUACUAAAGACGCUUU